This 439-nucleotide ribosomal RNA is filed under the name uncultured bacterium. Its description in RNAcentral is "partial 16S ribosomal RNA". It matches the Rfam family "Bacterial small subunit ribosomal RNA", at positions 339 to 795 of the family's 1533-position model. The record is from RNAcentral.
CUACGGGAUGCACCAGUGGGGAAUAUUGCACAAUGGAGGAAACUCUGAUGCAGCAACGCCGCGUGGAGGAUGACACUUUUCGGAGCGUAAACUCCUUUUAUAUAGGAAGAAGAUGACGGUACUAUAUGAAUAAGCGCCGGCUAACUCCGUGCCAGCAGCCGCGGUAAUACGGAGGGCGCAAGCGUUACCCGGAAUCACUGGGCGUAAAGAGCGUGUAGGCGGAUUAAAAAGUCAGAAGUGAAAUCCUAUAGCUUAACUAUAGAACUGCUUCUGAAACUCUUAAUCUAGAAUGUGGGAGAGGUAGAUGGAAUUUCUGGUGUAGGGGUAAGAUCCGUAGAGAUCAGAAGGAAUACCGAUUGCGAAGGCGAUCUACUAGAACAUUAUUGACGCUGAGACGCGAAAGCGUGGGGAGCAAACAGGAUUAGAUACCCUGGUAGUC